This 459-nucleotide ribosomal RNA is filed under the name uncultured bacterium. Its description in RNAcentral is "partial 16S ribosomal RNA". It matches the Rfam family "Bacterial small subunit ribosomal RNA", at positions 338 to 795 of the family's 1533-position model. The record is from RNAcentral.
CCUACGGGGGGCAGCAGUGAGGAAUAUUGGUCAAUGGGAGAGAUCCUGAACCAGCCAAGCCGCGUGAGGGAAGACGGCCCUAUGGGUUGUAAACCUCUUUUGUCGGAGAACAAAACCCGGGACGUGUCCCGGACUGCGUGUAUCCGAAGAAAAAGCAUCGGCUAACUCCGUGCCAGCAGCCGCGGUAAUACGGAGGAUGCGAGCGUUAUCCGGAUUUAUGGGGUUUAAGGGGUGCGUAGGCGGUCCGUUAAGUCAGCGGUAAAAUUGCGGGGCUCAACCCCGUCGAGCCGUUGAAACUGGCAGUCUUGAGUUGGCGAGAGGUACGCGGAAUGCGCGGUGUAGCGGUGAAAUGCAUAGAUAUCGCGCAGAACUCCGAUUGCGAAGGCAGCGUACCGGCGCCAGACUGACGCUGAGGCACGAAAGCGUGGGGAUCGAACAGGAUUAGAUACCCCAGUAGUC